GAUGAACGCUGGCGGCGUGCCUAAUACAUGCAAGUCGAGCGAACAGACGAGGAGCUUGCUCCUCUGACGUUAGCGGCGGACGGGUGAGUAACACGUGGAUAACCUACCUAUAAGACUGGGAUAACUUCGGGAAACCGGAGCUAAUACCGGAUAAUAUAUUGAACCGCAUGGUUCAAUAGUGAAAGACGGUUUUGCUGUCACUUAUAGAUGGAUCCGCGCCGCAUUAGCUAGUUGGUAAGGUAACGGCUUACCAAGGCGACGAUGCGUAGCCGACCUGAGAGGGGGAUCGGCCACCCUGGAACUGAGACACGGUCCAGACUCCUACGGGAGGCAGCAGUAGGGAAUCUUACGCAAUGGGCGAAAGCCUGACGGAGCAACGCCGCGUGAGUGAUGAAGGUCUUCGGAUCGUAAAACUCUGUUAUUAGGGAAGAACAAAUGUGUAAGUAACUAUGCACGUCUUGACGGUACCUAAUCAGAAAGCCACGGCUAACUACGUG
RNAcentral lists this ribosomal RNA (497 nucleotides) under uncultured bacterium. RNAcentral's name for it is "partial 16S ribosomal RNA". It matches the Rfam family "Bacterial small subunit ribosomal RNA", at positions 28 to 507 of the family's 1533-position model. The record is from RNAcentral.